Molecule: transfer RNA, 69 nt
Filed under: Periophthalmus argentilineatus (barred mudskipper)
Lineage: Eukaryota; Metazoa; Chordata; Actinopteri; Gobiiformes; Gobiidae
Description: tRNA-Ile
Rfam family: tRNA
About the family: Transfer RNA (tRNA) molecules are approximately 80 nucleotides in length. Their secondary structure includes four short double-helical elements and three loops (D, anti-codon, and T loops).
Source: RNAcentral
GGAACUGUGCCUGAAACAAAGGACCACUUUGAUAGAGUGAAUAAUGGGGGUUAAAGUCCCCCCAGCUCC